AUUUUUUUCGAUUUUUUUGGAAUUUUUUUCGAUUUUUUUGGAAUAUUUUCGAUUUUUUUUCGAAUUUUUUUUCAAAUUUUUUUUCGAUUUUUUUCGUACUUUUUCGAUUUUUUUUUAAUUUUUUCCGUUUUUUUUAUUUUUUUUCGAAUUUUUUUCGAUUUUUUUUGAAUUUUUUUCGAAUUUUUUCCUAUUUUUUCUGCGGAUUUUUUUCCAAUUUUUUUUUCUAUUUUCUCUUCACUUCUCUUGUUUUUCGAGUAUCUUCGAAUUGUUUUCAAAUUUUUUUUCAAAUUUUUUUCGAUUUUUUUUUUGGGGGGUUUUCAGAUCUUUUUUGGAAAUUUUUUAAAUUUUUUUUCGAUUUUUUUCUGAGCUUUUUUGGAUUUUUUUUUUCCAUUUUUAAAAAUCUGUUUUUCAAGUUUUUUUUCAAAUUUUUUGGAAUUUUUGGGGUCCCACCAGGAUGAAUUUCGGGGUCCCAGGAUGGAUUUCAGGGUCCUGGGUGGGAUUUCGGGCUCUCGGGGCUGGAUUCGGGGUGCCCGGGAUGGAUUUGGGGUCCCGGGGUUGGAUUUCGGGGUCCCGGGGCGGAUUUUGGGGUGCCCGGAUGGAUUCGGGGUGCCGGGAUGGAUUGGGGGUGCCCGGAUGGAUUUUGGGCUCUCAGGGAUGGAUUUCGGGGUCUCCCAGAUGAAUUUCGGGGUGCCGGGAUGGAUUUCAGGGUCCCAGGAUGGAUUUCAGGGUGUCCCAGGAUGAAUUUCGGGGUGCCCGGGGCUGGAUUUCGGGGUGUUCAAGGAUGGAUUUCGGGGUGCCCGGAUGGAUUUCGGGGUGCCCGGAUGGAUUGGGGGUGCCUGGAUGGAUUUUGGCCUCUCAGGGUUGGAUUUCGGGGUGUCCCAGAUGAAUUUUGGGGUCCCGGACGGAUUUGGGGUGCCGGGAUGGAUUCGGGGUGCCCGGACGGAUUCGGGGUGUCCCAGAUGAAUUUCAGGGUGCCAGGAUGGAUUUCAGGGUCCCAGGGCUGGAUUUCGGGGUGUUCAAGGAUGGAUUUCAGGGUCCCAGGGAUGGAUUUCGGGGUGCCGGGUUGGAUUUGGGGUGCCCGGAUGGAUUUUGGGCUCUCAGGGAUGGAUUUCGGGGUAUCCCAGAUGAAUUUUGGGGUGUCCCAGAUGGAUUUCGGGGUGUCCCAGAUGAAUUUCGGGGUCCCGGAUGGAUUGGGGGUGUCCCAGGAUGGAUUUUGGGCUCUCAGGGAUGGAUUUCAGGGUGUCCCAGAUGAAUUUUGGGGUCCCGGGUGNUCUCAGGGAUGGAUUUCAGGGUGUCCCAGAUGAAUUUUGGGGUCCCGGGUGGAUUUCGGGGUGCCGCUCACCGUCAGCGCCAGCGCCAGGCUCCCGGCGCAGCCCAUCAUGCCCAGCAGCCCC
RNAcentral lists this long non-coding RNA (1394 nucleotides) under Lonchura striata (white-rumped munia). RNAcentral describes it as "domestica (Bengalese finch) lncRNA (ENSLSDG00000003814.1)". The record is from RNAcentral. Lineage: Eukaryota; Metazoa; Chordata; Aves; Passeriformes; Estrildidae.